RNAcentral lists this ribosomal RNA (569 nucleotides) under Daia tannicola. Its description in RNAcentral is "eukaryotic LSU rRNA". It matches the Rfam family "Eukaryotic large subunit ribosomal RNA", at positions 62 to 648 of the family's 3401-position model. The record is from RNAcentral. Lineage: Eukaryota; Fungi; Ascomycota; Dipodascomycetes; Dipodascales; Trichomonascaceae.
ANACCAACAGGGAUUGCCUCAGUAGCGGCGAGUGAAGCGGCAAAAGCUCAAAUUUGAAAUCUGGUACUUUCGGUAUCCGAGUUGUAAUUUGUAGAGGUAACUUUGAACAUGAGUCUUGCAUAAGUUCCUUGGAAAAGGACGUCAUAGAGGGUGAGAAUCCCGUUUAUGGUAGGACCCCCAGUUUGUGUAAAGUGCCUUCGAAGAGUCGAGUUGUUUGGGAAUGCAGCUCUAAGUGGGUGGUAAAUUCCAUCUAAAGCUAAAUAUUUGCGAGAGACCGAUAGCGAACAAGUACAGUGAUGGAAAGAUGAAAAGAACUUUGAAAAGAGAGUGAAAAAGUACGUGAAAUUGUUGAAAGGGAAGGGCUUUAAAUCAGACAUGGUAUUCAGUGAUCAGCUUCCUUUCGGGGUUGUGCACUCGCUGUUUACCGGGCCAACAUCAGUUUAGAGGGUAGGAUAAUAGUAAAAGAACGUAGCUUGUUUACAAGUGUUAUAGCUUUUAUUGAUACUACCACUCUGGACUGAGGACUGCGCAUUUUAUGCUAGGAUGUUGGCGUAAUGGUUUUAAGCCAC